Triticum dicoccoides is the source of this 869-nucleotide long non-coding RNA. RefSeq lists it as uncharacterized. The transcript has 5 exons. Lineage: Eukaryota; Viridiplantae; Streptophyta; Magnoliopsida; Poales; Poaceae. The record is from RefSeq and is a predicted model, not a curated record.
UUAUGGUUUAUGGAUUGUAUUUUGCAUUUCCCCCUUUGUGCAAGACAAACAGGGAAUGUGUACUAAUCUAGAAACACACUGGUUAUGUGAAGAGCUGAUUGGUAAAUAUUAAGCUGAUUUUGAAUUCAUACAUACAGAGAGAAGCUUGGACUAUUGAGGAGGAACAUGCACUGAUUAAUGCCUAUCGGGUAUAUGGGAAUAGAUGGGCAGAAAUAGCAAAAGUUCUUUCUAGAAGGAAUCGGGUACUUCUAUUUGUUCUUAGGUUCUUCUCACCUAUAGCUAAAGUCAGAGGCAACAAAAUCAAGUGGAUUAUUGGAGUUACAAGAUACACAAAAUCAUCGGUCAUCUAAAUCUUCUUUUCUAAUAUGAUUGUUGGUGCUGCUCAUGAGGCUAGCCACCGGCUUGGAAGUGAUGAGAGGCAAUCACUGUUGUCAACUUGAAAUGUAUAAUUUUUUAGGAACGAAGAUCUGAAUCACCCUCACGCCUCGAGAGAAAUCAAUCUAGUCAUUCAGGUUCUGGUAUUUCUUUAUAGCUUUCUGAGUUUACUUCGGUCUUUCAUGUAUUUGCUUUCUGUUUGUGCCCCUAUCUAUUUCUGUUUCUUGUGUGCAAGCGCUCCAUUCUGUGUGUGUCUGACUGUGUGGCUUGACUCUCUUGUGUGUGUGGCUUGACUGUCUGUGUGUGUCACUGUGUGUUUGACUGUGUGUGAAUAUUGCAUUUGACUGUGAUGCGUUACUGUGUGUUUGACUGUGUGUGUGUGAUUGUGUGAAUAUUGUGCAUUUGACUGUGAUGUGUGAAUGUGUGAGUAUUGUAUUUUGACAAUGACUGUGUGUGGCUUGACUGUGUGUGUGUGGCUUGUAUGCUUUGUUGAA